UUGUACGAAUUGUUCUGUUUCUUCUGAAGCCAUAUGAUAGCUUAAUGUGAGGUACAGAUAAAUAUUUAAGUCCUUAAAUUAAAGUUCA
Sinocyclocheilus rhinocerous is the source of this 88-nucleotide long non-coding RNA. RefSeq lists it as uncharacterized. The record is from RefSeq and is a predicted model, not a curated record. The transcript is spliced from 3 exons. Lineage: Eukaryota; Metazoa; Chordata; Actinopteri; Cypriniformes; Cyprinidae.